AACCAUUCUCACCUGCGGCUAGACCUGCGGAGGGAUCAUUACCUAGAGUUGUAGGCUUUGCCUGCUAUCUCUUACCCAUGUCUUUUGAGUACCUUACGUUUCCUCGGCGGGUUCGCCCGCCGGUUGGACAAAACUUAAACCCUUUGUAGUUGCAAUCAGCGUCUGAAAAAACUUAAUAGUUACAACUUUUAACAACGGAUCU
This 202-nucleotide unclassified non-coding RNA is filed under the name soil metagenome. RNAcentral describes it as "partial contains 5.8S ribosomal RNA, internal transcribed spacer 2, and large subunit ribosomal RNA". The record is from RNAcentral.